This 1275-nucleotide long non-coding RNA is filed under the name Macaca mulatta (Rhesus monkey). Its description in RNAcentral is "lncRNA (ENSMMUG00000065100.1)". Lineage: Eukaryota; Metazoa; Chordata; Mammalia; Primates; Cercopithecidae. The record is from RNAcentral.
GCAUAGGGGACAUAGAAUUGAGCACUGUUGGGAGGGAAAGUCCUUUCCCUGGUCUUAUGUUUUUGUGUUGAAGGACCUCCAUUGAAAUACAACUCUUGGCCUGUAGUCUCACUCCUCACACACUCCUUCCAGCAGAGAAAUCAAAUACCUAAUGGCGAGGUGGUGACGGGGUGCUAAUUGGGUAGAACAACUCUAUCAAAGGACUGUAAACUUCCCAUUUUCCUCCCUAGAGACAGCUCCAGACUUUCCUUUGGGUGGAGAGGGAGGCUUUGGAUGUGUAUUCGGACAGAGGAGAGAGUUGGCAGUCACGGAGUAUUAAUAGGAUCUUUGGUUCACAAACCUAAUGUCAUUUUCUCCAAUUAGUUUAUCAAUAAUAAAGCUGACAGUUUAACCUCUGUCUGUCUACUGAUCUGUGUUUUAUUUUUCAACUGCUUCUGAACUCAGGAGUAGAAGAAAUAGGCAACUUAUACUGAAUGCCUAAAAUUUUUAAGAGGCAUACAUGUGUAGUAUUUUAGAUUUGUGGCUUUUUUUUUUUUGGUGAAAGUAAAGUGGGGCAUGAGCCACCACACUGGGCCUAUACUUCUCUUAAUUCAGUCUAAGAUGAUACUGACAUUUAUUUGAAGUUAAGUCACAUUGUUAUGUCUAUAAACUUAGCAUAAAUGAAAACUCUGAACUAAGAUUUUUCGAUCUGGUUUGGAAGUGAAGGUUAGAGCAGUCAAGGAUAUGGAAGAUACAUGAGCUGAGGGUUAAACAGAUCUGGAUUAUGCACAAGAGGGUCAAAUAGCUCUAGGUAAGAAAAAUAAGAACAGAAGGGGACUGAGUCAUUGAUUUUAAUGAAAUAAUGAACGCAUUUUGAACUUCGCUUUUUUUCUCUGUCAUUGACAAUGAAAAUCAGACACGUUACUAUGGGAAAAUAGCUAAUCUUAACUCUUUUUAAUUUCCAAUUUUUCACAUAAACAAAGGUAUACAUGACUUGCAGAAAGGGAAAUAUGAACUUUGAUUUUCAUAUUUUAUUUAUACAGGCAACGUCUGAAAUCUUUCCAUGAUUUGGUGUUGUGGGAGGCUGAAAAACCAUCAUUUGUUCCAACAUAUUGCUCAACUUGUCUUUUCAAAAUUCCCAUGAUGAUUGUCUUCUGUGGUUAGGACUGGAUGACAUUUGGAGUUUCUGCUUCAAAAAUGUCAAAAUAGAGUAUACCUAAGCUUUUACAUCUCACCUUGUAAAUACACUACAUCCUGGUUUUACUGUUCUUAAGUAAACAUCUUUCUAGGCACUUA